Molecule: ribosomal RNA, 493 nt
Filed under: Triticum aestivum (bread wheat)
Lineage: Eukaryota; Viridiplantae; Streptophyta; Magnoliopsida; Poales; Poaceae
Description: partial small subunit ribosomal RNA
Source: RNAcentral
GCCCACUUCCACAUGCCCCGGCGCUCUCCACUCACCUCGCUCUCUCCCUCCUCACUGAUUCCCCAUCUCCCGAGCGCGGCCGUCACCGACCACCAUGCUUCGUCGCGGCCACCGGCGUUACUGCGCCCGCAGCUCGUGUCCACGAGCAUAGCCUCGUUCGUCUCCGUCGACUGGAGCCGUCCAUUUGAGCCGGGCGAUGCCAUUGUGCGCAGAUCGAGCCGGUCUUGUCUUCUGCAUCACCGGCAAUCCUCGUCGACCUCGCUCUGCCACAACCACCGGCCACCUCUCGCCCCGCUGUUGCGUCCGCGAAGACCGCCGCCGUCCACUACAUCCUCUACGCCAACAAACACGAGCCGGGGAGCACAUCUGCGACCACUACGACUCCAUCUUCCUCCUUCGACCGCCGCCGAUCUCCUCCGAUCCCGGCGUCUUCUUCAUCUGCGACGAGCUCUGCAGCUCCUAAACCUCCCGCCGAGCCUCCGUGUGCUCCUAG